RNAcentral lists this microRNA precursor (97 nucleotides) under Bigelowiella natans CCMP2755. RNAcentral describes it as "miRNA EPrBNAG00000013185". The record is from RNAcentral. Lineage: Eukaryota; Cercozoa; Chlorarachniophyceae.
GACUCAUGAUAAUGAUGAGGAUGGUGGUGAAGGUGUAGGAUGAGAGUGAUGACGAGCAAUAUCAUCAUCAUCAUCAUGAUCAUCAUCAUCAUUCUAG